GACGAACGCUGGCGGCGUGCUUAACACAUGCAAGUCGAGCGGAAAGGCCCUUUCGGGGGUACUCGAGCGGCGAACGGGUGAGUAACACGUGAGUAAUCUGCCCUUGGCUUUGGGAUAACCACCGGAAACGGUGGCUAAUACCGGAUAUGACGGGCUCCGGCAUCGGGGUUCGUGGAAAGUUUUUUCGGCCAGGGAUGUGCUCGCGGCCUAUCAGCUUGUUGGUGGGGUAAUGGCCUACCAAGGCUUCGACGGGUAGCCGGCCUGAGAGGGUGACCGGCCACACUGGGACUGAGACACGGCCCAGACUCCUACGGGAGGCAGCAGUGGGGAAUAUUGGACAAUGGGCGGAAGCCUGAUCCAGCAACGCCGCGUGAGGGAUGACGGCCUU
This 388-nucleotide ribosomal RNA is filed under the name uncultured bacterium. Its description in RNAcentral is "bacterial SSU rRNA". It matches the Rfam family "Bacterial small subunit ribosomal RNA", at positions 28 to 418 of the family's 1533-position model. The record is from RNAcentral.